This 422-nucleotide ribosomal RNA is filed under the name uncultured bacterium. RNAcentral describes it as "partial 16S ribosomal RNA". It matches the Rfam family "Bacterial small subunit ribosomal RNA", at positions 360 to 774 of the family's 1533-position model. The record is from RNAcentral.
AAUUUCGGACACUGGGGGAAACCCUGAUCCAGCCAUCUCGCGUGCCUGUUGAAGGCGUUUGGCUUGUCCAGUACUUUUGUCAGAGACGAAAAGGUACCUCCUAAUUCCAGGUACUGCUCCCGGUAUCUCCAGAACAAGUACCGGCUAACUACGUUCCAGCAGCCGCGGUAAUCCGUAGGUUGCAAGCGUUAAUCGGAAUUACUGGGCGUAAAGCGUGUAUAGGCGGUUCGGAAAGAAAGAUGUGAAAUCCCAGGGCUCAACCUUGGAACUGCAUUUUUAACUGCCGAGCUAGAGUAUGUCAGAGGGGGGUAGAAUUCCACGUGUAGCAGUGAGAUGCGUAGAUAUGUGGAGGAAUACCGAUGGCGAAGGCAGCCCUCUGGGAUAAUACUGACGCUCAGACACGAAAGCGUGGGGAGCAAACA